AGAAUCAACGCUGGCGGCGUGCCUCAGACAUGCAAGUCGAACGCGAAAGCCCCCUUCGGGGGGCAAGUAGAGUGGCGCACGGGUGAGUAACACGUAGGUAAUCUACCUUCGGGUGGGGAAUAACAACCGGAAACGGUUGCUAAUACCGCAUAAUGCAGCGGCACCUAAUGGUGACAGUUGUUAAAGCGGGGGAUCGCAAGAUCUCGCGCCUGAAGAGGAGCCUGCGGCGGAUUAGCUAGUUGGUAGGGUAACGGCCUACCAAGGCGACGAUCCGUA
This 276-nucleotide ribosomal RNA is filed under the name uncultured soil bacterium. RNAcentral describes it as "partial 16S ribosomal RNA". It matches the Rfam family "Bacterial small subunit ribosomal RNA", at positions 26 to 285 of the family's 1533-position model. The record is from RNAcentral.